This is a long non-coding RNA of Haliotis rufescens (red abalone), 721 nucleotides long. RefSeq lists it as uncharacterized. The record is from RefSeq and is a predicted model, not a curated record. NCBI's taxonomy places the organism in Eukaryota, Metazoa, Mollusca, Gastropoda, Lepetellida, Haliotidae. The transcript has 2 exons.
CACAUUCAACAUGUGUAAGUGUUAUUAGUUAGUUAGCAAUUACCCCAAGUAAAAGGAAACCUCUAUUUAACCAAUCAGAAUCAAGCAUUCAUCAAUGUUAUGGUAGAAUUCAUCAUUACGAUUACUACUAUAUUAGGGUUACACGGAAUUCAGGGACAGACAUGCCCAUAUAUGGACACGGCUUGAAACAGGUGAAGGUUAUUGUGCUAAUUCUUAGAACCGAGUUGGCUGAUUAUAUAUAAGGUGUUCGUGGGGCGUUUUCAGACACACACUGUGAAUCGCUUUGUGGAUCUCUUGCACAACACACAACUGUAUCUAUACCUGCGACACACGACAACUCUCCAAACAGAAAAAAAAUGUCCGACAAAGGUGGUCAAAAAGGUUACUCCGGGACUGGCACAAAAGCUGACCUUGGCAACCACUCCAAUCAGAUGAACCCCAACAACCCCGUGUUUGGAGGGGGUUCCAGUCAGUACGGUGGGACUGGCACAAAAGCUGACCUUGGCAACCACUCCAAUCAGAUGAACCCCAACAACCGCGAGUUUGGAGGGGGCAAGCCUGGAGGCAAGAAGUGAUGACGUGUCACCUGAUGAUUGGCUUGCACAGACAAUAUAGACACAUCACGUGACAUUGUGUCAGUAAGGAUACUUCUGUGCCAUGAUUGUCCAGUCAAAUACUUAGCAGAUAAAAUUGUAUACGUAAAAUAAAUACGUUAUAACUA